AAAGCAAGCAGCUGUUUGGACAGCAUGCUGUGAGUUGCUUUCCUCACCAGAUAACCAUACACCUGCCAUAAUGCUGACAUUUCCAUCCCUGAAGCCUCUCUUUUUGGGUGAGGGCAACAUCUGCCAAAGUGGAAUUACAUCUACAAUAGAAAUACAAAAUACAGCACUCUCAUGCUUUGGCCACCUCAUGCGAAGAGCUGACUCAUUGGAAAAGACCUGGAUGCUGGCAAAGAUUAAAGGCAGGAGAAGAGGACGACAGAGGACGAGAUAGCUGGAUGGCAUCACCGACUCAAGGGACAUGAGUUUGAGCAAGCUCCCGGAGAUGGUGAAGGACAGGGAGACCUGGCAUGCUGCAGUCCAUGGGGUUGCAGAGUCGGAUAUGACUGAGCGACUGAACAACAUGCUUAUUAGACCACAAAAUCAUUUUCUGUAAGAACCAUUAAGUAGCAGUGUUUUGUGGAACAUACUUUAAGAAAUUUUGAGUUAAUACACUGUGCCCAAAACACUUCUGUUAACAAGAAAAUGUUACCAGAGAGAAACACACUGACUUGUUAGAAAAACCUAAUUUUAUUAUAGCACCUAAAACACUUGUGUUACAUUUUUGUGUAAACACUGUGCACUGUCUACAAAUUAAAAGCAUUUUGAAAUCAUGAGUAGGAGAGAUUUGCUAUUCUAAAUGAUGAAUGAUUAUUCAGUGACAUCUAGCCAGUCUGCCCACUUUAAGCAAAAUGUACUUAGAGGUACAAGUCAAUAUAAGAGUGGCAUUAGUUUGACUGAAAGUAAAAUAAGUCUCUUUAUUAUGGCACUACUCAUUUUCUCCUGUUGAAGGUAUUAAUUUUUAAGUAUUGAAUGCCUGUUUUUCAUUCCUUAAUGAGGCUAACACAACAAAAAGAAGAGAAGCAAUCUAAAAGAUAACUGGGGCUGGAUCAUGUCAUUUCCCCCAACACUGUCACAUUGUUCAAGUUAGAAAAUCUAAAAUCUGGAUGCCUAACUAAAUCACAAAAGGUCAGGCCCCAGGUAUUCCUGGUAAGCCAUUUUAUGGUUUAUAAUUGUUUUAUUAGACUACUGAGUUCAAUUUACUUACCUCUUUUUGGAAUGUAUCCAUGUAUCUCAAAUGAUACUGGUCUAGAUUUUGCUUUUUAGGAGUUAUCCUCAUCUAAUUUUAUUAUUGGGAUAUUUGCCUUGUAGAAUGAUUCUGAAAAAUUUUGUUAGAGAUUAUCUGUUUUUAAAACUUUCUUGCCUGCAAAACUGUUGACCCUAGUUUUUAAAAAAACAAGAGCAUAACUAUAUUUAUUUUCCCUCGCCUACAGAUCUCUUACAUUAUAAAACCUAUGUUACAAAAUCUAUAAAUUGUUUAAAAUAUAAAAUAAAUAAAAUAUAAAGUAGGUUGUUCAGGUUUUCUAUAGGAUCUUGAGUCAACUUUGAUCAUUUAGGUUUCUCUAAAUAGUUCGUUCUCCUUAUUUUUAUACAUAAUGAAAUAUAUGUAUAUUAUAGUACAUUCAUGAACUUAAAAACUUUUAAAUCUCUUUGAUAUAUGUAGCUAUUCACAAUUCCCAUACAUAGAGCUGUAACUGAAUCAUCUUUUUCCCCUCAAUAAUAACUGUUGAUUCUAUAUUAAUGGUCUUUUCAAGGAGAAUAUUCUUGGAUAAAAUCUACUAGUUUCUUAUUCUAUUUAUACUUUUAAAAAAUUGUAUUUUUACCUUUAUUGUAUGAAUUACUUCCUGCUAUUUACCUUAAUUAAAAAAAAAAUUGUUUUCUGGGAAUUCCCCAACAGUCCAGUUUUAGGACUUCUAGGGUUAGGGGAAUCCUAAUCCCUGGUGGGGGAACUAAGAUUGCACAACCCAUGCAGGGUGGCCAAAAAAAAAUUUUUUUUCUGGAUUCAGCUAAAUGCUUUUUUUUCAGUACAUUUAUCAACUUCCUGCUCGACAGGCACAGUAGGUAUGGUAACAGAGUGCUGAACUAAUUCUCAAGGCAGGUUUUCUAAAUGCAUCAAGGUUACUAUUUUUCUACCAAGUAGUGUUUUAGUGACUUCCCACAAAUUUUUACCUGGAGGUAUCAAAUUAUCAUUUAUCAUGAAUAGUUUAAAGUUUCAGAUUUUCUACUUCAACAAACACUUUAUUAUGGAAAUUUUUAAAAAUAUGCAAAGGUAGUAAGAAUAGGACAAUGAACCCUAUGUUCCCAUUAUUCAAGCUUCAACAAUUAGCAACACUUUGCUGAUCUUAUUUCAUCUAUCCUUUCCACUUUUCACUUUUCUUCAGUAUUAAAAGCAAAUCAUACACGACAUAAUUUUACUUUUGAAUACUUCAGUAUGGAUCUCUAAUGCAUAAGGAUUUGUACACACACCCAAACCCAUGCCAUCAUCAUGUCUAACAAAUGAAUUCUUGUUGUUGUUUAGUUACUAAGUCAUAUCUGACUCUUUUGCAACCCCAUGGACUGCAGCCUGCUAGGCUCCUCUGUGCAUGGGAUUUUCCACAAGAAUUUUGGAAUGGGUGGCCAUUUCCUUCUCCAGUGGAUCUUCCUGACCCAAGGAUUGAACCCGUGUCUCCUACAUUGCAGGAGGAUUAUUUACUACUGAGCCACCUGGGAAACCCAACAAAUGAAUAAAAAUCAUUUAAUACCCAUCCUAGGUUUACCUUUUCACAAUAAUUUUUUUUUUAAUUUGCUUGUCAGAAUCAGGAUUGUAUUGAAUUUAUUUUCUUAUUUUCUGUAUUCUCAAUGUUGGCAUUUAGAGACUUGAUCUUGGAGCAACUAUCCCUUCUAGAGAUAGCAAAUUCCUUGACAAAUGGCUCCCCUGUGAGCAUGCUUUGAUAUACAAACCAACGAAUCCAAAGUUGAAACCCCUUUACCAAACAUCUCCUUUAGCAAACUCUCAGACACCAAGCCAAUAUUCUUCCUGUUCUGAAUCACCAGAGCCAAGUACUGGACAACUAAGGACCACCGGCUGUAGCUCUGAGUCCACAAAAUUAUUCAAUCUAUCUAGUCCUAAACUUGCUCAGUGUACCUACCUGGCAUCACAUCACCCAUUCCUUCCUGGGAAAACUCAAGUCAAGUUUCUGAGUCAUGCGCUGCCCUUUCCUGCCUUCUGCCUCCUAACAGGACUAGCUGCUUCUUCCAUGUGGUCCUAUAUGCAUGCGGUGCUUCCUGUUAGUAGAAACCUCUGCCAAUAAGCUUCUUCCUUCAUGAUAAUCAUUUCCAUGUCUUCAUAUCUUACCAUACCAGAUUAAAGCAAAUCCUGGCUACAUUUUAAUACAAGCAUCUCAAUACAUUGCAUACACUGUAUUCAAUUAACAUAUCUCUUAAGUCUCUUUUAAUUUGUAAAAUUGUUUUUAUUGUCUUAUCAUAUAUUGGUUAAGAAAGUAGGCCUUUUAUUUUGUUGAAUUUCCCACAUUGUGGAUUUGGCUGUUAGUUUUGUGUCAUUAAUUUGUUCAUUUAUUUCUCAAGUCUCCUGAAAACUGGUAGGUUUAGAGACCAAAUUACACUUCUGAAUCAAUAUUUUGGACAAGAAUAUGCCACAGGUAGUAUUGCAUCCAUUGCAUUGCAUCAAGAAGCAAUUAGUUAUGCUGAUUUAGAGAUGUUACUAUUGAUUACUGGGUUGUCAUUCUGCCCCAUCCAUUAAAAUCUUCCUAUAAUCUUUCACCAAAUGGUUUUCAUACCCACUGAUAUCAACAAGAUCCAUAAGUAAAAAGUGUGAUUGCUUGGAUCUAUCAUUCCUUUGACCUUUAUUAGCUAGAAUUUUCUAAUAAUAAAGAACUUUCCUUCACCAACUUCUGGUUGUCUUAUCUAGUCCAUAAAGGAAAUAUAUAGUUCAUAAAGGAAAGGCAAGAUAAGUGCUCCAUUUUCCUUGUUUAUUAAUAAAUGCCCUAAUGUGUUCUGUAACUGAUCAAUGCAUUUGAUCAGAAAAAAAAAAAAAAGAAGCUAGCAAAGGCUAUAGAAAUCACAACAAAAGGACACAGGAUCCAAGCUGAGGAAAUCCCCACUGGCUGAAGAUAAUAUUAAUUUGAGCAUUUUUUAAAAAGGCCUCAAUGGAUUUUUUAAAAGUGAUACCGGAUUUAGAGGUGAUUUUUAAUUUCCAAAGUUUCUUUUUAUCUUAUCCUUUAAUACUUUAUUUAAUUGAAGUAUAGUUGAUUUAUAAUACUGUGUUAGUUUUAGGUGUACAGCACAGUGAUUCAGUUUUAUAUAUAUGUGUAUAUAUA
This is a long non-coding RNA of Bos taurus (domestic cattle), 4193 nucleotides long. Lineage: Eukaryota; Metazoa; Chordata; Mammalia; Artiodactyla; Bovidae. The record is from Ensembl.